GGUAGCCAAAGUUGUAAUUAAUCUCAGGACCUGUAAGUACUGGAGCCUCCAUCUGUGGUGACUGGUUGCUUGCCAGCUGUGGCUAAUGAUAAGGUGCUGAGAAGGAUAGAAGCAGUUUUGUGGAUGGAGCUUUGUGAAUCUCAGCUAAAAGUUACUGGUGAAGUUAAUUGCAAAUGAGGUGUUUACUAACUGGAGGUGAGAACACCAUCUGCAAUUACAUCUAUCAAGUACAGAGAGGAGCUUUAGAGCUGAGCAAAUAAUGUUUAUGGCUUACCUAUUCCCAGGGAAUACAUGGCGCUGCUUCCGUAUGUGCAACUCUGCCUGCUCUCCUGAAAUCCAUUUGGGAAGAUAAGUGAAUCAUUUCUCAUCAGGCUACAAGAAUUUCAAAACUUCUCUCCAGGGUUCCUUCGACACUCCUCUGCGCACAUCUUAAUUUCCUGUAACUGUCCUAAUCCACUUCCCAUAGGUACCCAUGGGAGCCUUGUUAUCGACCUCAACUGGAAAAAGGAUUGCUUCUCUCCCUCGUUAUAACUGCUAUUAACUGGCACAGUUCUUCUCUGCCUCCAUCACAGGGGCCAUUAACAUAAUAGGUCAGAGAAAGCUAGCUCUGCCUGUGCCCCUCAAAGGGUCCCUGCAGAGCAGGGAAGAGAAGUGCUGUGCAAGAGGAGCUGCUCUUGCCACCUGGGUGUGCUGAGACUGGGGGCUGUCAGCCAGGGUGCCCUUCACCAGUAUUUACACCUGCAUGCCUCGGAGAGUGAUAUGGGUGACAGGCUGGAAACUUCCCCAGAUUGAAGCUCUUUAAUUGCCUGUUCCUGAAGCAGCCUCUGGGGUGAAGCAGUGCUCGGCUGCUUGUUACCUGCCUGGCCUCCAUAGGCUCCCUGCAGAGCUGGUGGUCAAUGGAGAUGCUGAAUUGCCCUUGGAGCUCACCUUUCUCUGUUCCUUUCCCAGAGUAACAAGGUAUGAGAACUGGGGAGAGCUGCCAAUUUAAACGGUACCCUCCCUCCUGCAGUGGCAUGACAGAGCACGCUGACGGCUUAUCUUCUGCUGCAGCGCUGGGAAUGCCUGGAUUUCAGGCCGGAGUACAAGCAGGGGGCCUGGAAGCAGACUUAGUGGAGAACAUACAAGGACAGUAGUGUCCCAUGUGCUUGUUCUAGGAGCGAGGUGCAGGUUCUGUAGGAAGAUCCUGGGAUAGCUGGGGCACCUGAAAACCCCAGAGAAGUUUAAGCUACUUCAACUAGAUGCAUAUAAGACAAGAGGUUGGUGCGGCACAAGACUGCCAGGGCCUUGGACUGACCACUGGAAGGUGUUUCAGAUGAUCAUGCCCUCAGUGGAGACCCUUUCCUUCUGAAAAGCAGCCCCUUUCCUCUGUGACCCCGGAGGCAGGAUGAUGCUGCUUCUCCUGUGCCCAGGCUCUCAUGUUUGCAGUACCUUGAGCUAGUCCUUGCAUGAGGCAUUUGAGGUGGGAGGGCAGGGCUAAGACAUAGUCCUGCCCUGUGUAGCCUGCCAGUUACAGCUGCUUGUGUAACAGCAGAGAUCCCAGCAUCCUGGUCUUUCUGGGGCAUCCACAGGUGGUGCUCAGCCUGAGAGGAGCAUGGUGCCUGUGCUAGGUGUGGGACAGGCCUGCAGUUAAAAUCUGGCUGAUGUUAUGGAUCUCUUAGCCUGACAUCUGCCCUAAAUGUCUUCCUGUGGCCAUGCAGACUAAAGGGGGUGUGGAGGGAGAGAUAAGCAAAAUCUGCAGCAGGCUGCAUGUAGUCUUCAAUUCCAACAGAUCAAAAGCAUCAAAAUUCAGUCAGGAUAAAGGAGGGCUUGGUGAUACUCUUUGAGGGGGAGGGGAACCAUAAAAGGGGAUUAGGAAAGAACUUGUACUUCAGCACACGGCCAAUAUGCAGAGCUUGCUAAGAGUCAUAAAGAUCUGUAAUUAUAUUUGUAUGGAUUAUACUAAUCCAUGAACUUGUAACCCAUGGGACAUGGUCAUGUUGGGCUAGAGAAACACAGAAUUAUCAGACACUGCUUUGUGAUGUGCUAGUACAUGUCUUGGGGCUGGCUUACUGAGUGGAAAGAUCCUACCAGGGUUAAGGUGCUGGCUGAUAGUGCAACUAUUUUUUUUUUAUCGGGAGCAUAGCCUCAAAUGUAUACUUGGGAGGCAGGAAAACCCUACCACCUCUUAAAUUUGCCUUAAGGAACAGAAUAAUCAGACAUAUAUUUGAGUACAAUCCAGGAAAUUACUUGUGUGUUUUCACUUCCUUGCUUGCAUUUACAUAACCAACAGCCCAGCAAUCUUAAAAUUGCAGAUCAUGGCUUGCUUUGCUCACCUCUUGAGAAUAAACUCACCCCAGCUUCAUUCAUUUAACUUCAAUAUUUCUCAUUCUCUGGCUUAACUGGAGCUUCAGGUUCCUGGUCCCCACAAAGAGUGGCUCUGUUCAGGCAGCUCACUGGUGUUUCACUGUCUGAAUCCUAGCUUCCCCUCUUCGCUUUGGCAAUUGCUUAGAUAUCCCUGACAGCAGCCUUUUAAAAUGUUUUAUCUGGCAUUGUUUGCUAAUGCCUCUCCUGUGACAGGAGGAACAUGAUUUCGUAUGCUUAUCCAAGACUUUAAAUGCUGCGGAGAUUAGCGAGGGAUGCAGGUACUCAAACACUCACCUGCAGCCUGUACUCGGAGGAGGCUGUGACCACAUUGGAAUACCUCACAUGCUAUUAAAUAAGACUGAAAGAUAAAUUAUUGACAUCAAGGAAUCAGGGCAUGGAUUAAAUUAACUGACCUCUUCCGUUAAGCUGUUGAGCAUCCUCCGUAUUUCCUGAAACUGGGGGUGUUGGAAGAGCUUGUGGUAUGAACAUCUCACACCUGUAGCACUGAACACUUUAUGCCUACCUGGGGAGUAGCAGUGAGAUUACAACAGUUGAUAAUAUCAGCUCGGUAUCUGGCUGGACUAUGUUUUGUAUUGCAGAGCUUGGCUUCAAUCCAUGUUAGUAAGGCAACCUGGGAAGGCAGUGUUCCUGUGGGUUCUGUGACCAUAACUUGUUGGGGUCUGGAUCUAUUCCAUGUGCUUUCCUUAAAGAUGUACAAAACCAGGCAAGACGGAUGAGUUUUGCUGUGGAGAAACCCACCUUCCAGCGUCUUCCUGAAAAAUGCUUGUAGGAAUCCAGGCUGGGUGGGAAAAAGUGUAAAAUGUACCUUCCUGCUACCAGGGCAGGGAGAUAGCAAUACGCUCAUGGAGAGGCAGCAGGUCUCCCAAAUGCCAUUUGGGAAAAGUUAGAACAGCAGCGAGUGAACUUCUGAACUUCAGUGUUCUUGGAAACUGCUAACCUGAUGUGAAUCUGCUUCCUGGCACGUAAAGAACACUAACCUAAAAAGUGCUUCAGCCUGUAGUGUUGCCAUCUGCUACGGGCUGGAAGCAUCUUCAUAGUGGAUAAUAAAGUAUUUUUUCUCUGCUAGCUUCAUGUGUUCCUCUGGAAAUGUGGAUGGGCCAUCAGUACCUUUCCCAAGUUUCCCAAAGGUCCUUCAUGAAGCCAAAAGGCAGGGGACAAACCUGAUCAAGGACCUGGCUCAACCCCUAGGUGGAGCAAAUUGCUGUUAAUUUAAGAGGUGGUGGGAUGCAAUGUCUUUAGAGGUAUGGAAGGAGGGCAGAGCCAGCUGUACUUGCACUGCAGCACACAUAUCAGACCCAGCACAGGGAUGCAGGCAGACCCCACUUGCCCUGCUUGGCUUAGCAGAACCACUGCUGGACCCAUCUAGUGCUUAAUGGUCUCUAACAGCAACACUUCCUAAUUCAGAGUAUGUGGAUGGAUGGGUAUUGCAAUGGAUACCAGUCCAUGGGUCUCGGUUUGCCCUAAGAUGUUAAAAAAUUAGCUGCCCUGUCAAAUCUUAGCGAUCCUGAAACUAGCAAUUCCCUCAGUUUUAGUCACAGAGUGCAUUUCAACCAGGUGGAAGACUGUGACUGUUCCUCAAUGUUAUCUGUCGUCCACUGACCAGAUUGUUAAGAGAAGUACUGAGACUUCAUUAAGAAGUUGGUGAACUGGAAAUAGGAGAGAAAUAUG
Long non-coding RNA from Cygnus olor (mute swan), 4032 nucleotides. RefSeq lists it as uncharacterized. Lineage: Eukaryota; Metazoa; Chordata; Aves; Anseriformes; Anatidae. The record is from RefSeq and is a predicted model, not a curated record. The transcript has 3 exons.